GAGUUUGAUCAUGGCUCAGGACGAACGCUGGCGGCGUGCCUAACACAUGCAAGUCUAACGGGAAAGUCUCCUUCGGGAGACCAGUACAGUGGCGGACGGGUGAGUAACGCGUGGGAAUCUACCCGGUAGUGGGGGAUAACCCCUCGAAAGGGGGGCUAAUACCGCAUAAGUCCUACGGGGUAAAGAUGGCCUCUUUACAAUGCUAUCGCUUCCGGAUGAGCCCGCGUCCUAUUAGCUAGUUGGUGAGGUAAUGGCUCACCAAGGCGACAAUGGGUAGCCGGUCUGAGAGGAUGAACGGCCACACUGGGACUGAGACACGGCCCAGACUCCUACGGGAGGCAGCAGUGGGGAAUUUUGCGCAAUGGGGGAAACCCUGACGCAGCAACGCCGCGUGGACGAUGAAGGCCUUCGGGUCGUAAAGUCCUGUUCUGGGGGAAGAAACGGCAGAAAGCUAAUACCUUUCUACCCUGACGGUACCCCAGCAGAAAGCUCCGGCCAAUUAUGUGCCAGCAGCCGCGGUAAUACAUAAGGAGCAAGCGUUGUCCGGAAUCAUUGGGCGUAAAGCGCUCGUAGGCGGUCCAGAAAGUCAGCUGUGAAAGCACCA
Molecule: ribosomal RNA, 604 nt
Filed under: uncultured Eubacteriales bacterium
Lineage: Bacteria; Bacillati; Bacillota; Clostridia; Eubacteriales
Description: bacterial SSU rRNA
Rfam family: Bacterial small subunit ribosomal RNA
Source: RNAcentral